RNAcentral lists this ribosomal RNA (136 nucleotides) under uncultured eukaryote. RNAcentral's name for it is "partial 18S ribosomal RNA". It matches the Rfam family "Eukaryotic small subunit ribosomal RNA", at positions 1299 to 1458 of the family's 1831-position model. The record is from RNAcentral.
UGGUGGAGUGAUUUGUCUGCUUAAUUGCGAUAACGAACGAGACCUUCAUCGUUAAAUAGCCCGGCUCGCUUUGGCGUGUCGCUGGCUUCUUAGCGAGACUUUUGGCUUAAGCCAAAGGAAGUUGGAGGCAAUAACA